Molecule: microRNA precursor, 99 nt
Filed under: Paramuricea clavata
Lineage: Eukaryota; Metazoa; Cnidaria; Anthozoa; Malacalcyonacea; Plexauridae
Source: RNAcentral
CCAGCCCGGGCUGAGUUUCAGCCCGGGCUGAAAUUUCAGUCCGGUUAAUGAGCUACCCGGGUUGAAAUUUCAGCCCGGGCUGAAACUCAGCUCGGCAUG